Molecule: ribosomal RNA, 497 nt
Filed under: uncultured bacterium
Lineage: Bacteria
Description: partial 16S ribosomal RNA
Rfam family: Bacterial small subunit ribosomal RNA
Source: RNAcentral
GAUGAACGCUGGCGGCGUGCCUAAUACAUGCAAGUCGAGCGAACGGACGAGAAGCUUGCUUCUCUGAUGUUAGCGGCGGACGGGUGAGUAACACGUGGAUAACCUACCUAUAAGACUGGGAUAACUUCGGGAAACCGGAGCUAAUACCGGAUAAUAUUUUGAACCGCAUGGUUCAAUAGUGAAAGGCGGUCUUGCUGUCACUUAUAGAUGGAUCCGCGCUGCAUUGGCUAGUUGGUAAGGUAACGGCUUACCAAGGCAACGAUGCAUAGCCGACCUGAGAGGGUGAUCGGCCACACGGGAACUGAGACACGGGCCAGGCUCCUGCGGGAGGCAGCAGGAGGGAAUCGUGCGCAAUGGACGAAGGCCGAACGGAGCAACGCGGCGUGAGGGAUGAAGGUCUUCGGAUCGUGGGACUCUGUUAUUAGGGGAGAACAGAUGUGUAGGUACCUGUGCACAUCGUGACGGUACCUGGUAAAGAAGCCACGGCUAACUACGUG